Molecule: long non-coding RNA, 1125 nt
Filed under: Vulpes vulpes (red fox)
Lineage: Eukaryota; Metazoa; Chordata; Mammalia; Carnivora; Canidae
Description: lncRNA (ENSVVUG00000011896.1)
Source: RNAcentral
AUUUUUUAAAAAAGAUUUUAUUUACUUAUUUGCAAGAAAGAGAGAGGGAGAGCAUGAGUGGGGGGAGGUGCCAAGGGAAAGGGAGAAGCAGACUCCCCACUGAACAAAGAGCCCGAUCCCAGGACCCCGGGAUCAUGACCUAAGCUGAAGGCAGACGCUUAACCUGAGCCACCCAGGCCCCGUAGUAAUUUGUUUUUACUGUGUUUUACAAGCAUCUGCAUUAGAUUGGAAAUUUUAAAAAUGUGGUCCUUCACCAGAGUUGUAGAAGCUCUGAUUUUAUUUUUUAUUUUUUAUUUUUUUUAAAGAUUUUUUUAAAGAUUUAUUUAUUUAUUUUUAUUUAUGAUAGACACAGAGAGAAAGAGAGAGGCAGAGACACAGGAGGAGGGAGAAGCAGGCUCCAUGCCGGGAGCCUGACGUGGGACUCCAUCCCAGGACUCCAGGAUCACGCCCUGGGCCAAAGGCAGGCUCCAAACCGCUGAGCCACCCAGGGAUCCCGAAGCUCUGAUUUUAGAGUAUUAAAGUCAAGUUCAAGGAUGAAAGUAUUUGAGAAUGAUCGUCCUAGGACAAUCAGCAAAUAACCAGUACCACACUUCUAACUCUGCUGCCUUCCCCACAAUUCUACUCAGAGAAUUUUAUGUAGCAAGAACAGAAGCAUAUUGAGGUCAGCGCUCCCUGUCCUUCUGUGGCAAAGUUAUUUAUGAUAUGCUUCGCUUCAUCCAGCUUGCCCCCUCAAUAAAGCAUCUGGAAAGAGUCCAAAGAAAAGAGUCGUGUUUUCCAAGAAACCAUGGGAAAACAGCAUUAGAAACCCUGAGGAAAUAUUGGAAUACCGAACUGUUACUGCUUGCCAACAGAACUUUGAGGAAGACACGCAUGCCCAUGCCUCCUCAGCACGAGCAUUUUCUAUCAUUAGGGUCAUGCAUUUACAGAUCAGAAAAACAACUCUGUUUCAUCCUAAGCUAUUGGUUGGAAUGAAUAUCUUCACAGCUCUGAGAUCUUCUUAAAAUAAGAGGUCCCUUAGUAGUCUAUUCUCAAACAACAAAUGAAAUGGAAUUAAAUAUACUAGACUUUGGUAUGCUCACAGCCCUGGCUCUUGACAGGGUAGCUUCUUAUUCUAGGAUCACAGAG